CCACCUGGGAAGCAUUGCUGGUAUCCAGUUUAUGGAUGAAGAGAUUGAGGCCUGGGGGGACAAUGGAAUGAGGUGUAUGCAAGGAUCUGCAUCCAGCUCCCGAGUCUGAUGAGUUCUGGCAGUGGCUCCAGGGAAAGGAGGAGUCCAGGAACAGAGCUGGUGGGGGAGGCGCUCCCAGGAGUGGCCUUCCCAACAGCAGGUGCUGCACUCCUGCUGCCACUGAGGAGUCACACGUUCCCUCUUCUGAAGGACUCUCCCCUAUUUCUGCCCCUCCCCAAAAGGUGCCUUGAGCUGUCCAGAAGAGACAAACCGAAGCCCUGCACUGGAAGGGAGGAAAAGAGAGAGGAACCCCUCCCCCCAGCAAGGAGCGGAGUUAGCUGAAAACUGCACCGAUCCCCUCUUGGGCUCUUCCUUGGCUGCUGCCCCUUCGGCGCAACUGCCCUUCCUCUUGGGCUUCGGCAGUGGGAAGAGAGCGAGCCGGGUGCUUUUGAGCUGCAGUGCGCGGAGAGGCUUCGCGAGGCUGGGCUCAGUAUUCGUUAAUGAUCAAACAAUUAUUUAUGUUGACAGCCCACAUCUCCCUUUCCGUAGUUUCCAUCUGAAGACUUAGCUCUACCCUUCUGGUGCAGAACAGGAAAGCCUAAUCUGUCUUCCCUGAGAUUCAAGAAAUUCAAGAGGCUGCUCCUCCUGGGGCCUCUGUCGGUAUCCUCCUUGUUGCUCCUAGUUAAACUCUUAUUCCUCAGGUAAGAUGGUGCUGAGUCUACUCACCAUCGGACUGUGGUGUCUAGUAUUGGACACCACAUCCCUGAUGUGCCCUGACACCUCAGUGCUCUCCCACAUAGAACCUAGUGGGCACUGUGUCCCCGCAUCUAUCUGAAGAACUGCUCAAGAGGCUUUGUGGGAGGUCUAGCUCCUCCUCACCCCCUCCAGGCUUGACAUGCCUCCACCCCCACCACCCCGUACCCUUCGCAGCAUACUUCCAGUCAGGCAGCAAUCAGCUUGCACCUGAGAGGGAUCAGCUGUGGUGACUGAGGCUGGCUUGCUCUUGCAGCCCCAGGAACACAGAGAUUCGUGCUGAAGAACCAAAUGGUUUCUACAGUACAAGCAGGCGCCAGGGACUCCGCAGGAGGCAUCACUGGCACCUUCUAAUUGAUGAGCAGUCCAGCUCUGAAGCUGUGGGCUCUAAAGCCAGAUACCUCCUCCAGGUGACUCUGAUCUUCCUCUCCCAGCUGAAUAGAGUGAACUUCAGCGUUUCUGGCCUCCAGUUCCUGAACUCUGCUUCUUCCAAGGCAGUUUUAGCUUAGGCAUCGCCUUCUCCGGGAAGCUCUUCCUGACCCCCAUUGCUACCCACAGUGAGUCACUUGCUCUCUGUUCCUCACUUCCACGAUGUUUCCUCCUGUCUCCAUCAUUCUACUCAUUAGCCCAGGUGGCAAUUAUUUGUUGUGGUGUUUGUUGUAGACAAAGACAGUCUUGUUUUUUUGGUUUUGGCAUUUUGCUACUAAAUGUGUUUUUGAUAAAUGAAUAAAUAUAAUAACACCACAAUAGCAGCUAAAAAUUAUUUAUUGACCAUUCACUAUGCAAAUGCACAUGCAUUUUCUUAAGUAUUCCAAUAACACAGUGCCAUGGUUAUUAUCUCAGUUUUACAGAUGUAGAAACAGGCUCACGUGAAUUAUGUAACUUGUUCAAGGCCAUAAUAGCAGUUUGUGGUGAGUCUGGGACUUAAACCUAGGUCUUUUAAAAAAAUUAUUAUUCCAAAGUCUUGUUUUAAACUUUGUAAUAUGAAUGUUUAUCCCAAAGAUUUUAAGCACUCCUGAAUGUUAUCUCUUACAUCUAAGAAGAUAGGUAGUUCUCAGAAAAAAUCAAUUGCUUAGAAUGCCUUUUGCAUAGAACUGCUGCUAAUAUUUCUUUUUGCCAGUAAUAGAACUUAGACUCAUAUUAGGCAGUGCAAAGUAGUGGUUAAGUACUCAGACUUUGGAGUCUGCCAGACCUGAGCUCAAAUGCUAGCCCUGAUACUGGAAUCUUGUGUAAAUUACCAUAACUUGCCCAAAUCAUAGUUUGCUUAUACAGUAUCUAAAAAGGGGCUAAACUAUGUUGGAGAAAUGAAACUGUUGUUUACAGAUGCCAUGAUUGUGUGCUUAUAAAAUCUAAAAUAAUCUGCAAACUAUGGUAGGCUGAAAAAUGUACCUCCAACCCCACCUCCCACUCAGGAUAUCAGGUCCUAAUUUCUGGAAACUAUAGAUGCUACCUUAUUUGAAAAAAGCUUCUUGGCAAAUGUUGUGCCAAACCCCCGAUUUGCCUCAGUAGGGAAAGCACCAGGUUCACAAGGCCAAAGAAGAAACCCAGAUGUGGGGUUCUAUUAGGAGCUCACACACAGGGGAGAGAGUCCAGUGGCAGUGGGCUGGGCAGGAGACCUGCCUUACCUACAGCAAUGGUCCAGUGGCAGUGGACAGGACAGCAUAACCACAUGGCCUAGUGGCAGUGACCUGGGCAGGAGAACCACAACUUCCUUUCUAACUGUAAUAAAAUUAGAAAAGUUUGCCAAUGUUACAAAAUAAAGUCCAGAAAUAGACUCAUAUAUCUAAUUACCUGAUUUGUGAUUAAGGUAGUGCAUAGGAAAGAAGGCAUAGUUUGUUUAUUAAAUGUCGCUCCAUCAUGCGCUUUAUACAGCAUUUUCACUUAACAGCCUCCCUCUAAUGACCUCCACCUGGUAAUCUUUAUUUAACCCAAAACUCAAGGCCUCAGUCCCCUGUACAGAUCAGCCUGUGUCCCACAGGACUGGCCGGGGGGCUCUCAUGUUUGUGAUAGAAGAGGAAUGAAUCUCCAAGUUGGCCACUACUGGAUUCCCUAGCUCAGCACAAACAUUCAGGUGCACCUGCCACACAGGGUCAUUCUAAGAGUAUGUUUAAAUCAUUGCUAUUAGGUGCAUUUACCCUAUAGCAGAUGUAAUUAAGUUAGAGAUCUUGUGUUGGGGAGAUGAUCCUGGAUUAUUUGGGUGGGGCAUAAAGACCAUCACAUGUGUCCUUAUAUGACGGAGGCUGAAGUUGGUCAUACACACAGACAGAAGAGAAGGCCAUGUGAAGAUGGAGGCAGAGAUUGGAAUGAUGUGGUCACAAGGAAUGCUGGAGCCACCAGAAACUGGAAGAGGCAAGAAACAGAUUCUCCUCCAGAGCAUCUGGAAGGAGUAUGGCCCUGCUGACACCUUGAUUGUAGCCAAGAUUUUGGACUUCUGGCCUCUAGAGCUAUGAGAGAAUAAAUUUCUAUUGCUUUAAGCCAAUAAAUUUGUGCUAAUUUAUUGCAGGAGGCUUAGACAAUUAAUACACAAACUAUUAGAAUUAAUAAAUGUCAUUAGUAAAGUUGUUGGAUACAAGGUCAAUAUACAAAAAUCAACUGUAUUUCUAUCAGCAACUAACAAAUAAAAAUUAAAAUGUUAUAUUUAUAAUAGCAUCAAUAAACAUCAAAUUCCUAGGAUUAAAUAUAAUAAAUGAUGUACAACUUCAAAAUAUUAUUGAGAGAAAUUAAAAAUGACUUCAACAAAUAAAAAGAUAUAUUAUAUUCAUGAAUUGGAAACUCAACAUUGUCCUAAGAUGUCAUUUCUUCCCAGAUUAAUAUAUUGAU
RNAcentral lists this long non-coding RNA (3612 nucleotides) under Homo sapiens (human). RNAcentral describes it as "HSALNT0172096". Lineage: Eukaryota; Metazoa; Chordata; Mammalia; Primates; Hominidae. The record is from RNAcentral.